GGACCCGCGGAAGGAUCAUU
RNAcentral lists this ribosomal RNA (20 nucleotides) under Myrmecodia platytyrea. Its description in RNAcentral is "partial 18S rRNA". The record is from RNAcentral. Lineage: Eukaryota; Viridiplantae; Streptophyta; Magnoliopsida; Gentianales; Rubiaceae.